GCCUAAUACAUGCAAGUCGAGGGGCAGCACGGGUAGCAAUACCUGGUGGCGACCGGCGCACGGGUGCGUAACGCGUAUGCGACCUACCUUUAACAGGGGGAUAGCUCCGAGAAAUCGGGAUUAAUACCCCAUAGUAUUAUUUUGUGGCAUCACAUGAUGAUUAAAGUUCCGACGGUUAAAGAUGGGCAUGCGUGCCAUUAGCUAGUUGGUGAGGUAACGGCUCACCAAGGCAACGAUGGCUAGGGGUUCUGAGAGGAUUAUCCCCCACACUGGUACUGAGACACGGACCAGACUCCUACGGGAGGCAGCAGUAAGGAAUAUUGGGCAAUGGACGCAAGUCUGACCCAGCCAUGCCGCGUGCAGGAAGACAGCCUUAUGGGUUGUAAACUGCUUUUGUCAGGGAAUAAACCCCCGGUCGCGCACCGGGGCUGAAGGUACCUGAAGAAUAAGCACCGGCUAACUCCGUGCCAGCAGCCGCGGUAAUACGGAGGGUGCAAGCGUUAUCCGGAUUUAUUGGGUUUAAAGGGUGCGCAGGCGGGUUUGUAAGUCAGCGGUGAAAUCCCACGGCUCAACCGUGGAACUGCCAUUGAUACUGCAGGCCUUGAGUGUAUUUGAAGUGGGCGGAAUGUAGCAUGUAGCGGUGAAAUGCAUAGAUAUGCUACAGAACACCAAUUGCGAAGGCAGCUCACUAAACUACAACUGACGCUCAUGCACGAAAGCGUGGGGAUCAAAC
Molecule: ribosomal RNA, 733 nt
Filed under: uncultured bacterium
Lineage: Bacteria
Description: bacterial SSU rRNA
Rfam family: Bacterial small subunit ribosomal RNA
Source: RNAcentral